This 792-nucleotide small RNA is filed under the name Pongo abelii (Sumatran orangutan). RNAcentral describes it as "processed transcript". The record is from RNAcentral. Lineage: Eukaryota; Metazoa; Chordata; Mammalia; Primates; Hominidae.
UUUCCAGUUAACUGCUCAGAAGAGAGAUGCUGAAGAGCUGUAGUCGUGCAUCCUUCUCACCCUCCUGUUAGAAAGCCUCCUCUCAUCCUCAGAAGACUACUGUCAGAGGAUGUAGGAAUGGACAUCCCCUUUGAAGAGGGCGUGCUGAGUCCCAGUGCUGCAGACAUGAGGCCUGAACCUCCUAAUUCUCUGGAUCUUAAUGACACUCAUCCUCGGAGAAUCAAGCUCACAGCCCCAAAUAUCAAUCUUUCUCUGGACCAAAGUGAAGGAUCUAUUCUCUCUGAUGAUAACUUGGACAGUCCAGAUGAAAUUGACAUCAAUGUGGAUGAACUUGAUACCCCUGAUGAAGCAGAUUCUUUUGAGUACGCUGGCCAUGAAGAUCCCACAGCCAACAAAGAUUCUGGCCAAGAGUCAGAGUCUAUUCCAGAAUAUACGGCCGAAGAGGAACGGGAGGACAACCGGCUUUGGAGGACAGUGGUGAUUGGAGAACAAGAGCAGCGCAUUGACAUGAAGGUCAUCGAGCCCUACAGGAGAGUCAUUUCUCAUGGAGGUAGUCGAGCUCUGCGUGAAUCUGGGAAAUGGGGAGGGGGCAGCCAUUUUAUUUAAAAUCGUAAAGUGAGUCUAGACUUCUCCGGAACAUGACAUCUCAAAGACCCUAUUCUAGAGCCAAUAUUCAGGGAAUUGUAGAGCUAAGUAUAUUUCCUCAUAUUCAAUUCAAUAAACAUUUGAAAUCCUACUAGGCAAAGACAACUUUCCAAUAUAAAACGGGCUUUUCAUGCUACAUAUCUGAUA